Molecule: ribosomal RNA, 460 nt
Filed under: uncultured bacterium
Lineage: Bacteria
Description: partial 16S ribosomal RNA
Rfam family: Bacterial small subunit ribosomal RNA
Source: RNAcentral
CCUACGGGUGGCAGCAGUGAGGAAUAUUGGUCAAUGGGCGGAAGCCUGAACCAGCCAAGUAGCGUGCAGGAUGACGGCCCUACGGGUUGUAAACUGCUUUUAUACGGGAAUAACGCGCCUUACGUGUAGGGCUUUGCAUGUACCGUAUGAAUAAGGACCGGCUAAUUCCGUGCCAGCAGCCGCGGUAAUACGGAAGGUCCGGGCGUUAUCCGGAUUUAUUGGGUUUAAAGGGAGCGUAGGGCGCGUGUCAAGCGAGUUGUGAAAUUUUCGGGCUCAACCCGGGCCUUGCAGCGCAAACUGGCGUGCUUGAGUGCGCGGGAAGCAGGCGGAAUUCGUGGUGUAGCGGUGAAAUGCUUAGAUAUGACGAAGAACCCCGAUUGCGAAGGCAGCUUGCUGCAGCGGAACUGACGCUGAUGCUCGAAAGCGCGGGUAUCGAACAGGAUUAGAUACCCGUGUAGUC